ACCUGGUUGAUCCUGCCAGUAGUCAUAUGCUUGUCUCAAAGCUUAAGCCAUGCAAGUGUAAGUUCACGCCACGCAUUAGAACGGGCGAAACCGCGAAUGGCUCAGGAACCGGACCUAAUCCUCGGGACCGUAAUCCUCCUCGGAGGCGAUGGAUAACUGUGGCAAUUCUAGAGCUAAUACAUGUGACACAGGCCGCGAUCGGCCGUCGCGCCGUGGUCGCCUCGCCUCGCGCGCUGGCACCCGCGUCGGCCGUCUUGGGUCGCGGCUCUACAUAUUAGACUGAGACCGAUGCACGAUUUCCGUCCUCCCGUCGCUCCCGGGUUUCGGCUCGGGUCGGUGGCGGGAYCAAAGGUCGGCGUGCUCCGCUUUGGUGACUCUGGAUAACUCACUGGUCGAUCGCACGGGCUUCACGCCCGGCGACGGGUCCCUCGAGGGUCCGCCCUAUCAACUGUCGACGGUCGGUUAAGUGCCUACCGUGGUUACUACGGGUAACGGGGAAUCGGGGUUCGAUUCCGGAGAGGGAGCAUGCGAAACGGCUACCACAUCCAAGGAAGGCAGCAGGCGCGCAAAUUACCCACUCCCGGCACGGGGAGGUAGUGACGAAAAAUAACGACGCGGGACUCUGUCGAGGCCCCGCGAUCGGAAUGAGUACACUUCAAAUCCGUUAACGAGGACCAACCGGAGGGCAAGUCUGGUGCCAGCAGCCGCGGUAAUUCCAGCUCCGGUAGCGUAUAUUAAAGUUGUUGCGGUUAAAAAGCUCGUAGUCCGAAUUCGGGUUCGUGGUCGCUCACGCGGCCCCGGGGCGUCGGCGCCAUCGUCCAUCGUUGACUUUGGUCGUCCGUUCGCAUUCCCGGCCCUUUCCGCCGGUGUCGAUCGCUGCAAGACGGCCGUCGUGCGGGCGCGUUCCCUUCGGGGUUCCGGGCUCUCGGGUCCCUCGUCGCGUCGCGCCGUCGGCGAUCUCUCCUCCAAGGGUGCUCUUAACCGAGUGUCCGCGGCGGCCGGUACGUUCACUUUGAAAAAAUUAGAGUGCUCAGAGCGGGCUGUUCAAGCUUGCAUACGAUAAGCAUGGAAUGAUGGAAGAGGGCCUCGUCUACGUCUGUCGGUCUCCGUCUACGGCGAGGCAAUGAUCGAAGGGAGCGGUCGGGGCCACUCGUAUUGCGACGUUAGAGGUGAAAUUCUUGGAUCGUCGCAAGACGAACUGCAGCGAUGGCGUGUGGCAAGCACGUUUUCCUCGAUCAAGAGCGAAAGUCGGAGGUUCGAAGACGAUCAGAUACCGUCGUAGUUCCGACCGUAAACGAUGCCGACCGGCGAUCCGCCGGCGUUCGCUUCCAUGACCCGGCGGGUAGCCUGCGGGAAACCAGAGUUCGGUUCCGGGGGGAGUAUGGUUGCAAAGCUGAAACUUAAAGGAAUUGACGGAAGGGCACCACCAGGAGUGGAGCCUGCGGCUUAAUUUGACUCAACACGGGAAAACUCACCCGGUCCGGACACCGGUAGGAUUGACAGAUCGAUAGCUCUUUCUCGAUUCGGUGGGUGGUGGUGCAUGGCCGUUCUUAGUUGGUGGAGCGAUCCGUCUGGUUGAUUCCGAUAACGAACGAGACUCCGGCCUGCUAACUAGUGCGCCGAUGUGAGUGCGGCCCUCGCUGGUCGUGUGCGGGUCUCGCCGGCAGCGAUUUUUGAUCGUUUGCCGUUGCGUGUCCGGGUCGGUUUCUCACGCACUUCUUAGAGGGACGGGUGGCAGAAAGCCACACGAGGCGGAGCGAUAACAGGUCUGUGAUGCCCUUAGAUGUCCGGGGCCGCACGCGCGCUACACUGGAGGUAUCAGCGGGGACUUCGCCCCGGCCCGAGAGGGUCGGGAAACCUCUCAACCACCUCCCGUGAUAGGGAUCGGGGCCUGUAACCAACCCCGUGAACGAGGAAUUCCCGGUAGGCGCGGGUCAACAGCCCGCGUCGAUCACGUCCCUGCCCUUUGUACACACCGCCCGUCGCUACUACCGAUCGAACGGUCCGGUGAGGUCCUCGGAUCUGGCCGACGACGCCGCCGGGCGUGGGCUUUCGGGUCCCGCCUCGGCGUUCGAUGCCUGGAGAAGACGACCGAACCCGAUCGUUUAGAGGAAGUAAAAGUCGUAACAAGGUUUCCGUAGGUGAACCUGCGGAAGGAUCAUUA
RNAcentral lists this ribosomal RNA (2164 nucleotides) under Pyroteuthis margaritifera. RNAcentral describes it as "SSU rRNA". Lineage: Eukaryota; Metazoa; Mollusca; Cephalopoda; Oegopsida; Pyroteuthidae. The record is from RNAcentral.